CCUCUCCCCCUCUUGCUCGGAAGAGAGCGACUGCUCAGGUGGGGUGAAGAAAUAUAGUAUAAAUUUUUUUUCAAAAAAAACGAAAACCCGGCUCCUUUUCAUCCCCCUCCCGCGGCAGUGUGCUACCCGGCGCUUUUAUUUGCAAGCCUUUACCG
Molecule: non-coding RNA, 155 nt
Organism: Microcebus murinus (gray mouse lemur)
Lineage: Eukaryota; Metazoa; Chordata; Mammalia; Primates; Cheirogaleidae
Source: Rfam